RNAcentral lists this ribosomal RNA (433 nucleotides) under uncultured bacterium. Its description in RNAcentral is "partial 16S ribosomal RNA". It matches the Rfam family "Bacterial small subunit ribosomal RNA", at positions 29 to 507 of the family's 1533-position model. The record is from RNAcentral.
AACGAACGCUGGCGGCAUGCUUAACACAUGCAAGUCGAACGAGACCUUCGGGUCUAGUGGCGCACGGCUGCGUACCGCGUGGUAACUAGCCCUUAGGUUCGGUAGAACUCCCCGAAAGGGGUGCUAAUACAGGAUAAUGUAAUCCGACCAAAGAUGUAUCGCUUUUGGAUGGGCCCGCGUUAGAUUCGCUAGUUGGUAGGGUAAAAGCCUACCAAGGAGACGAUGCUUAGCUGGUCGGGGAGGAGGAUCAGCCACACUGGGGCUGAGACACGGCCCAGACUCGUACGGAAGGGAGCAGUGGGGAAUAUUGGACAAUGAGCGAAAGCCUGAUACAGCAGUGCCGCGGGAGUGAUGAAGCCCUUAGGGUUGUAAAGCUCUUUUAGCCGGGAUGAUAAUGACAGUACCGGGAGAAUAAGCACCGGCUAACUACGUG